Mus musculus (house mouse) is the source of this 448-nucleotide long non-coding RNA. RefSeq annotates it as predicted gene, 53551. The transcript has 3 exons. The record is from RefSeq and is a predicted model, not a curated record. NCBI's taxonomy places the organism in Eukaryota, Metazoa, Chordata, Mammalia, Rodentia, Muridae.
CUGAGCUACUGCUAGAUCCUUGGACUUUCAUAAACAGCUGCUACUGAGCAUUGUAGGGGAGUUGGACUACAGACUCAUCUCUACCAGGAGCAUUUAUCCUUUCACAUAAAUUAAUAGAAGCCACCCGGUAACCUCUCCUCACCGAGUGCAGUUCCAUGAAGGAUGCUGCUGAGAGACACAGGGUACAGCGAGCUCCCCAAGAUGGAGAUAAAGAAGGCAUCACCACAACAAAGUAGCACACUACAGAACAGGAGAAAAGUGGCAACAUAUCUGUGUUCACUUUCAUCCAGCACUGACUGCAAAGUGCCCUUCACUUGACCCAGCCCAUUAAUUUAAAAAUGCCUACAGCUAGAACUGAAUAUGGACGAGACUCUGGCAGUAGACAGUUCCAAACUGCAGGAUCGGGUGAGUUGCUGCAGUAUGCAUGAGCAACCAUGUUAUUUUUACC